AGAUGUGGAGCGCGUUCCUCGGCAUCCAGUUCAACGACGCCGACCUCCAAUGGCUGUGGGUGCGGCAGCUGCUCAGCCAUGCCAGGGGCCGAAUCACCCAGGAGGAGCCACAGCGGCAGCUCGACGUGUUCCUCCGCGCAGGGCGGAAGGGCGCGACACUCCACCCGGUGCUCUACGACUGCCUGGAGAGUGCCGCUCUGGACGCCGUGUGGUCCAUCUGCCAGAACGAGGAGGAGCUGGCGGAGAAGGAGCUUCAGAAAUGCAGCGAGGUGCUGUCGCGCAUCCUGGUGGAGGCCUGGCCGAGGAGGGAUGGUCAAGCGACCACGGAGCACGAGGAAGUCGUCCUGCACCUGCUUGGCUGGAGGCUUUCGGCACGCUUGCUCGGACU
This is a long non-coding RNA of Lethenteron reissneri (Far Eastern brook lamprey), 388 nucleotides long. RefSeq lists it as uncharacterized. NCBI's taxonomy places the organism in Eukaryota, Metazoa, Chordata, Hyperoartia, Petromyzontiformes, Petromyzontidae. The record is from RefSeq and is a predicted model, not a curated record.